This 1204-nucleotide long non-coding RNA is filed under the name Mus musculus (house mouse). Its description in RNAcentral is "predicted gene, 71569". Lineage: Eukaryota; Metazoa; Chordata; Mammalia; Rodentia; Muridae. The record is from RNAcentral.
CUAGUCUCUCAUAGAAACUUCUGGCCUCUGGACACUGUGGGAGCAACUUUUCCUUUAUUAGACUGUCUCCUCUUUAACUGUACCUAGAAGAUACUUUAGCACAGCAAGCAUCUCUUUUAUGCUUACAUUAUGCAGUUAUGCAGACUUGGUGAGAUAGACCAGUGCAAUGGACCUCAUAACCACAUACAAUCUAGUUUUAUGGGGAAACUCCUUGUAUAAAAGAAUAUUGCAGCAUGACUGGGAAGCCUGUCCUUCAUUACUUCAAUUGAAGAAGAAGAAUGGAGUCCAUCCGGUGGCUCCUGGCAGCAGCUGGAGUAGAGUUUGAGGAAGAACUUUUUGAAACCCAUGAAGAGUUUGAGAAGUUAAUCCAAGGUGGAACCCUGAUGUACGAGCAAGUGCCCAUGGUGGAAAUCGAUGGAAUGACUUUGGUGCAGACCAGUGCCAUCUUAAGAUAUGUAGCUGCAAAAUAUGACUUGUAUGGAAGGAACCUGGAGGAACAAGCCUGAAGAGAAGGAGAUGAACCUUGAAUACAUCCUCCACCGAGCUACAACAAGAUUCUUCCCCGUUUAUGAGAAGGCCCUGAGAGACCACGGGCAAGACUUUCUUGUGGGCAAUCGGCUGAGCUUGGCUGAUGUCCAGCUCCUUGAAGUCAUCUUAAUGGCUGAAGAAUGCAAAGCCAGUGUUCUCUCGGGUUUCCCUCUGCUACAGGACUUCAAGGUGAGAACCAGCCAAAUUCCUACAAUUAACAGCUUCCUCCAACCUGGAAGCCAGAGGAAGCCUCCUUUGGAGGAGCGAUCCAUUGGGACUGCAAAGGACAUAUUCAAAUUUGAAUGAGGACUGUUUCUUAAAAACAUGAGCAAUAUAGUAGCUGAGUAUUAACAGCUACAGAGGCUGGAGUUACUCAGUAAGUAUACUGAGUAACUUGACACUGCAUUCAUAAAAAGACACUCACUAAGUAUAUGGCCAGAGAAAUAUCCUGAAGUUAGUAAUAAAUGUUAGGAAUCUUAGUAUGUUAGCAAUGUUAGAAUGUUAGUAAUGGAAAUAUUAAAUGUGUAAGAGAAAAACUACUAGAAGCUUAUCAAUAAACUACAAGAACCAACUCUUGUUUGAAGUAAGACAGGCUACCAAGACAGAAUUCAGAAAAUCCAAGGAGCCCUCGGCCUUCUGUAUGAUCCUAGAAUAAACUUGUAUGUAGCAAGUGAAA